UGGGGAAUAUUGGGCAAUGGGCGCAAGCCUGACCCAGCAACGCCGCGUGAAGGAAGAAGGCUUUCGGGUUGUAAACUUCUUUUAAGAGGGAAGAGUAGAAGACGGUACCUCUUGAAUAAGCCACGGCUAACUACGUGCCAGCAGCCGCGGUAAUACGUAGGUGGCAAGCGUUGUCCGGAUUUACUGGGUGUAAAGGGCGUGUAGCCGGGCCGGCAAGUCAGAUGUGAAAUCCCAAGGCUCAACCUUGGAACUGCAUUUGAAACUGUUGGUCUUGAGUAUCGGAGAGGCAGGCGGAAUUCCUAG
RNAcentral lists this ribosomal RNA (303 nucleotides) under uncultured bacterium. RNAcentral's name for it is "bacterial SSU rRNA". It matches the Rfam family "Bacterial small subunit ribosomal RNA", at positions 355 to 673 of the family's 1533-position model. The record is from RNAcentral.